AGACCUUGGUUUCUAUAGGACAAAAGGUGAGCAACAUUAUUUUUUUUUAAAGAUUACAAUUAGUGAUAUUCCAGAUCAAACUUCAAAGUAAGUUCAUCAAAGUAUGUACUGUAUAUGUCGACAUAUACUACCUUGAGAUUCAUUUUCUAGCAGCAAUUACAGGAAAAUAAAGAAAUAUAAUAGAAUUUAUGAAAAUCUAAAAGUAACUAUAAUGCAUGUGCAGAAGACAAAUAGUGCAAAUAAUAAUUUAAGUAGUAAAUAAUUGAUACUAAGUUGUAGAGUCCUUUAAACUGAGUGCACAGAUAGUGGUGUCAGCUCAGUGCUGAGGUGGGUGAAGUUAUCCAUCCUGAUUCAGCAGCCUGAUGGUUGUGGAGUAAUAACUAUUCCUGAAACUGGUGUUUGUUUUUAACUGAACAUGAGCCCGAGGGGAAAUUUUAAAACUUCUGCUUUACAUGUUAGAUCAUGUAUUUUAACUCACAUCAUGGAGAUGUGCAUAUUAGGAAAUUCAUUUAUCCCGGAGUGGGAGAGCACAUAUAGUGAAAGGACACUGAGUAAAGUCCAUGGAUCAGGCUGGUUAAAAAAUAACUGAAGGUAGUAGCGGGAAUCAGAAUCAUGUUUAGUAUCACUGGCAUAUGUCAUGAAGUGUGCUGUUUUGUGGCAGCAGUACAUUGCAAUACAAUAAAAAUCUAUAAGUUGUAAUAAGAGAUUAUAUUAAAAAUAUAAAUUAAGUAGUGCAAAAAGAAAAAAAGCAAAUAGUGAGCCAGUCUACAUGGGUUCAUUCUCCAUUCAAAAAUCUGAUGGAGGAAGGGAGGAAGGAGUUCUAAACACUGAGUGCCAGCCUUUAGGCUCCUGUAUCUCCUCCCUGAUGGUAGCAAAGAGAAGAGGGUAUAUCUUUUGUGAUGGGGGCCCUUAAUGAUGGAUGCUGCCUUUUUGAAGCAUUGAUUGCCCUUUGAAUAUAUGUCCUCAGUGCUGGGGAGGCUAGUGCCUGUAAUGGAGCUCGCUGAAUUUGCAACUUUCUGCAGCUUUUUCUAUUCCUAUGCAAUAGUUCCUCCAUAUCAGACAGUACGCAAAAUACAUCGACCUAAGUAAAUUGUUUUGUAAGUAAAUUUUUUUUUUUAUUUCACCAUUCAAAAAUAAUUAGUUCACAAGUAUCCUUAAUAUCAAUAAUGGAUAAAGCAAAGAUUAAAGUAUCAGACUUCAUUCCAGCUGCAAUUUAAAAAAGCCUGCACUCAAAGUUCUGGUUUCUUCCCUCUUCCUUUGGACUCGACCCAAAAGGUCGACUGUUCAUUUCCGUCCAUAGAUAAUGCAUGACCUGCUGAUUUCUUCUAGCAGCUUGUGUGUAUUGCUGGAGAACUAGUACUGGAUGAUAAAAAAAAAAAUGAAGGGCCAUGUAGGAGGUAAAGGUUAGAACAGAGGUACCCAACCCUUUUUAUGCCAUGGACCAAUACCAUUAAGCAAGGGGUCCUUGGACCCCAGGUUAGAUUGAUCUUAGAGUAGGUUAAAAGGUUGGCACAACAUCCUGGGCUGAAGGGCUUUUUAUGUUCUAAUUGUGCUUUUGACAAUGCUAUUCCAUAUUUAAAAUGCAGUCAUCUUCCUGAUGUGGAGGACUGAUCAGGUACAUCCUAUUAAUGUCUCUUCUUCGGAUGUCCAUUGAUUUCCGAUGAUGACUGGGGCUUGGGCGGGGUUGCAUGGAAGACCUGCAGUUGCCCAUGCUGCAAGUCUCCCCUCUCCAUGCCACUGAUGUUGCCCAAGGGAAGGGCAUUAGGACCCCUACAGCUUGACACCAGUGUCGUCCUAUUAAUCCUAUUAAUGAAAAGUAAAUCAAUUCCAACAUCCAUCAUCAAAGACCUCCACAAUCCAGGUCUUGCCCUCUUUCCCUCAACUACUGUUGGGCAGGAAGUACAUAAGCCUAAGUGCUACAAGACCAGCUUCAGGAACAGUUAUUACCCUUCAACCACCAGGCUCCUAAACCAGAGGGAAUAACUUCAAUCACGACCCUGAACUGAUUCUAUAUCCUACAGCCUCACUUUCAAGGAUUCUUUACAGAUCAUUUUGUCAGUAUUAUUUUUUUAAAUUUGCACAAUUUGUCUUCUUUUGCAUAUUGUCUUUAUGUACAGUUUUUGCAAAAAUUAUAUUUUUUAUUUUCCUGUAAAGAAAAUGAAUUUCAAGCUCAUAUACAUGGAUAAAUGUGAACAUACCCACUUUGGUUCUAGAAACAGAGAGAUGAUAGUGGAAGAUUGGGUAAGCAGGAGAUGCAGUGAAAUCUGUGUAGAAGCAAUUAUUAAAGAUUAAACUGAACACUAAGAAAAAUUAAAAGCAAUCGGGCAAAGUCAAUGCCACUUUUUCCAAAAAGGAAAUCAUGUUGACCAAUUAAUUAGCAUACAACAUACGUAUAAGACGGAAAGGGGUGGGGGUGAUCGCCAGAGGCUUUUUCCCAGGGUUGAAAUAGCUAACACGAAGUGGCAUAGUUUUAAGGUGCUUGGAGAUGGAUAGCGAGGGUAUAUCAGCGUCAACUACAGACUAUUCCGUUUGAAUUUUCCAAAUCCACCAUCUCCACUGACAAAGAAGAUAAACAUGCGGACACCAGCAUUUGCAGAGUCCCCUAUUAGAGAAAUGGUUUACCUUUGCCUUCUGGAUAGUGUCUUUACGAGACGGGUGAUCCCAGCGAUUAUCAAUACUCUUCGGAGAUUGUCUGCCCAGCGUCAGUGGUCGCGUAACUGUUCAUACGGCCAGCCACCACCUGCUCCCGUGGCUUCACGUGACCCUGAUGGGGGCGGUUUGUGCGAGGAUGACUUGCAAGCUAGCAGAGGGAAGCGGCACCUGACAUCUCCUUUGGUAAAGACAUAUCUUUACCCCGACACAAAAACGUACAUGUAUGUCACUAUAUGCUAACCUGAGAUUCAUCUUCCUGCAGACAUUCACAGUAAUUACAAAGAAACAAUAGAAUUAAUAAAAAACUGCACACAAAGAUUGACAACCAAUAUGCUAAAGACAACAAAUGGUGCAAAUACAAAAAUUAAAAACAAAACAAUAAUAAUAAAAAUUGAGAACAUGA
This is a long non-coding RNA of Hypanus sabinus (Atlantic stingray), 3055 nucleotides long. RefSeq lists it as uncharacterized. The transcript is spliced from 3 exons. The record is from RefSeq and is a predicted model, not a curated record. NCBI's taxonomy places the organism in Eukaryota, Metazoa, Chordata, Chondrichthyes, Myliobatiformes, Dasyatidae.